CAGGCCUUCAGUGUCUGAAAUUCACUAUUGUGCAAUGAUGCUUCCUUCCAUGUUUUGCUGUGUAACAGGAGGAGGUACUCUAAACAAAUGCAUUGUUUCCUCAAUUACAUCAAAGAAUUGCCAAUGUUGCACCAUUAUACCUGUACUGCUGCAUUUCCAAACACUUUCCGGUACAGGUGCAGCUGUAAGAAGGCGGAUCCGGUUCUGAUAAUCCCCACCCCUGGUAGCGUGCAGAGUCUGAGAGUCUCCAGCUCUUUAGUGUGGUGGAGCAGCCAUCAUGUCAAGAUCUCGUGCAAGAUCUUCAGCCCAAUGCCUCUCUGAUGUCAAGGACCACCUUGUGACGCAAGAUAUAUGAGGAUGCAAUUGAGAUGAAGAGGAACAUCAAAGAAGCUAUGUCCACAGUCGAUUUCAUUGCUACGACAACAGAUUGUUGGAGUGCAAGGCAAAGGGGUUUUCUUGGAGUUACUGCCCACUGGGUAGAAGACUCAAUGAUGUUUUAUUGGUAAAGGAAGGUUGUACAGAGUAUUAAAUGCAGGGGUGCCACUGAAUACAAUAUAUUUACUUGAUUUAAAGGUUGUCAUUAUUUCAGUGUGAGACUAAGCUAAGUAAUCAAACUCAUCUUUACCAGGGGUGCCAAUCAUUGUGGAGGGGACUGUGGAUGUCUCAUGUUCUGCUGUGUAUCUUUAUUUUGAUUUUUAAUUGUAAAACUUAAAUAGUGCCUAUUUGUGCUGUUACUUUGGCAUAAAAAUGCCACUGUGCUCAAAAUCAAUAUAUAUAUAUAUAUUUUAAAUCCUCUGUGUCACAAAGGUAACUAGGUGUUGCAUACCCUGCCCUAUCCCUCUGGAGCAUGACAGGGCUGGCCUGCUAAAUUACCUAAAAGAUGUAAAACGGCAUUCUUCUCCUCCACUACCUUCAUCACGUACAAAUUCAGGGUGUCAUUAAAAAGCCUAUCCCACAUGCUGGCAUCAAACCAGUGAAUGAAAACAACUAACUGCCUGGUGUUCUAUGUGUUAACAAACUUAUAUCUACUUAUUUAUUAGUUUUUUCAUUUUCUGUUCCCAUAUGUUUUCAUUCAUUCAUCCGUUAAUUAGCUUGUUUGUUCUUAAUUUGUUAAUCAAUUAAUUAAUUUGUUUUGUUCUUUCUUUCUGUCAUCUGAUAUAUCAGACAGAUUGUGUGAGUAUUAUAAGAUGGUAUGUGUAAGGACAGCAGAAAUAAUUGUCUCUUCCCUAGGGCCUGAGAGACACUGACACUGUGUACAGACUUCAAGCCUGACUGUGUUGACUGAGUGCAUUAAAAAAAAUUCACUGUGUAAGUAGGCUUGACUG
Clupea harengus (Atlantic herring) is the source of this 1325-nucleotide long non-coding RNA. Lineage: Eukaryota; Metazoa; Chordata; Actinopteri; Clupeiformes; Clupeidae. The record is from Ensembl.